UGGGGAAUAUUGCACAAUGGGGGAAACCCUGAUGCAGCGACGCCGCGUGAACGAAGAAGGUAUUCGUAUCGUAAAGUUCUGUCCUAUGGGAAGAUAAUGACAGUACCAUAGAAGAAAGCUCCGGCUAAAUACGUGCCAGCAGCCGCGGUAAUACGUAUGGAGCGAGCGUUGUCCGGAAUUAUUGGGCGUAAAGGGUACGCAGGCGGUUUAAUAAGUCGAAUGUUAAAGAUCGGGGCUCAACCCCGCAAAGCAUUGGAAACUGAUAAACUUGAGUAGUGGAGAGGAAAGUGGAAUUCCUAGUGUAGUGGCGAAAUACGUAGAUAUUAGGAGGAAUACCAGUAGCGAAGGCGACUUUCUGGACACAAACUGACGCUGAGGUACGAAAGCGUGGGGAGCAAACAGG
RNAcentral lists this ribosomal RNA (403 nucleotides) under bacterium. RNAcentral's name for it is "partial 16S ribosomal RNA". It matches the Rfam family "Bacterial small subunit ribosomal RNA", at positions 355 to 776 of the family's 1533-position model. The record is from RNAcentral.